CAAUCUAGAUAGAUAAUGUGAGUUGUCAAGUUCUGGAGAUAUGUCCGCCUUCCCUCAAAUACUCUGAAGCUACAUGCCACUUUUGAGAGGCUUGCGCAUGUGACAGUGUGGGAUGUGAACACUGAAGGGCGCCCUCCUUGGCUGGGCUGUAACGUUAGCCAGCAUCUUGUCCAUGAGUAAUCGCACGCUGCCUGCUGUGAGGUGAUACAAAGAAAAAAAAUCAUUCCUACAUGAACAUGAAACUGCUCACAGCAAACCGUCUGGAUUAUCAUGAGCAACCGAGUCGUGAUUUUAUGAUUUUUUAUUUUUUUUUAUUUUAAAGAGACGCUGCUGUUGAGUUUUUCAAAAGUUUUUUUUUCUUUUUUUUGCAAGCCAAGUGCUAUCGAGGUUCUUUAUUUUCGAGAGAAGGCACAACCAUCUGUGGCUGGCCCUGACCACGCUGCGUUGUCCCCCGGGCACGGACCCAUGUUAUUAUCAUCCAGAGCAACAUUCGUAGAGUGGAAAAGGAUUGUCACGACCGCAAAUACACCAGUUUCACAUUAGGGCUGCGGCGCUGCAGAGGGAAGCGCACACAAAUCCCUCAUCCUGGCUCAGCGCUUGGUCGGUGAAAUAAAACAAAGGCGAACAGCGAGCCUGAGCAGGGAUGGGGCUGCUGAUAAAGAUCUGUCAAUGGCGCAUUUCCACGGGAUAGAAGGUUGAGAGGAGGGAGGGAGACAGAGUUUAACUGAUUGUGGAAUGGGGUGCAGAGCCCCAAGUUUGCCGGUGUUGCACAAAAACUUUUGCCUCUGCUCGAAACAUGUUCCUCUGUAGCAGGUUGCAAGGAAUUUAGGGAAUGGGGCAGAUUCCUCUGAGAGGCUUCUACCUUCAGACUACCUUUCACCCCCCCAAAAAAACAUUCCUCCAUCAGCCUGUCAGUCGCGCAGAGGUGCAGACAGAGCUGUACUGGCGCAGCCCCACGUUGAUGAUCCUCAGGAUACUUAUCUACAAGAACAUGUACAAAAGCCCUGCAUGGAAAGAGGCCCUUUCAUGGAGGCAAAUUCCACGAUCACGGUGCCACAAGUUGAAGAAGAAAAAAGUAGAAACCUGUGCCUGCCGGCGCUGAUACGUGAACCAGGGCUGUAAAUCAGGUUAUCUGGCCUUUUUCAGCCCCUAACAAGUCUGUAAAAAGUAAUGUGUCGUACGUAAAGUGUCACCCAGGAGUGCGCCUGACCUCAUUUUUGUAAAUGUAUUUUUUUGUGGCGGAACAAAGCUGUUGAUGGUAUUUGACUGAAGCAAUAUGACCCGGCCCUGAAUUCCACAGACACACAUUAAA
Molecule: long non-coding RNA, 1312 nt
Organism: Acanthopagrus latus (yellowfin seabream)
Lineage: Eukaryota; Metazoa; Chordata; Actinopteri; Spariformes; Sparidae
Exons: 2
Source: RefSeq, a predicted model, not a curated record